RNAcentral lists this long non-coding RNA (1605 nucleotides) under Homo sapiens (human). RNAcentral's name for it is "HSALNT0331354". The record is from RNAcentral. Lineage: Eukaryota; Metazoa; Chordata; Mammalia; Primates; Hominidae.
CCUCAUCCUGGAAACCAAGGGCAUCGCGUACACGCUCAGUGGCAAUAAAGUGGAAGUUGCCGUCAAACAGAUCAUCGCUCGAAAAGCCAUGGAGCAACGAGGUGCUUUCUCGAACCCCGAGGCCCUGCAUCUGUACUGGGACAUCCCUGAGCUGAAUGGCUUCUGAGUCGGACUGGCUGGCACAGGGAGGAUGGAAACCUUGAAUGGCCUGGCGCAGGAGUCCCUGGCUUGCAGUGUUUCUCUCGCCCUUGAUGGGAGCUUCAGGUUCUUGCCAAAGUAUGUAUCACAUAAUUGCUUUCAUGUUCAGACACGGCAAGAGUGGGUUGUAAAUGACUGCGACGCCGAUGUCACAAUUCUGUUAGGCCUGGUUGACCUUGCAAAUUGAAUUCAGGGAGGGCAGUGCUUCUAUCUGGCUGCUAGAUUUAUUGUUCCCAGUCUGGGGAGAGGCCUGGGGAGGCGUGGUAUGGGAUUUCUGUGCCUAGGCAGCCACUCCAGCUUGUCCUGUGCUGCCUCCCUCCUUUCCAUCUUGGUGUCUUCCUCAGCUCUCGAAACAGAAGGCAGCAGCCCAUGAUUGAUGGGCUCCGGCCCGCUGGGGUGUUAUUAACCACUCUGUCAAGGUGACAAUGUCAUUUUUAAUGUUCCAUCUUCAGACUUGAGGCUUAUUCUUAGGUUGAGAGUUAGCCAACCUUGACAGAGAUAGAACCCCUAAAAGUUUAAGACGUGGUUCUUGACCCUGGCUGCUGGGGAGCUUGCAACAAUACCGGUUUCCAUGAGGGUACCUUCUGGGAUGCAGGAAAUGUUAGAUGUCUUUAUCCACGUGGUGGUUACUUGAGUUCAUAUAUGUGUAGCAAAAACUUGGGCUUUGGUGAGGAUAUGGAGAAACUGAACCCUGGUGCCUUACUGGUGGGAAUGUAAAUUGGGGCAGCUGCUGUGGAAACACACUGGUGGCUCCUCAAAAAGUUAAACAUGUAAUUACCCUGUGAGCCAGGAAUUGCACUCCUAGGUAUAUACCCAAAAGAACUGAAAGCAAGGACAGAAGCAGAUGCUUGUAAGCUAAUGUUUGUAGCAGCGUUAUUCACAACCACCAAAAGGUGGAAACAACACAAGCAUUUGCUGAUGAAUGGUUACUGUUCUGUCCCUACAAUAGAAUGUUAUUCAGCCACGAAAAGGAAUGAAGUUCUGACACACACUGCAAUGUGUAUGAACCUUGAACCCAUUAUCGUGACAGACACUGGUCACAAAAUGACAAAUACUGUAUGAUUCCACUUACAUGAAAUACCCAGAAUAGUCACAUUCACAGGGACAGAAAGUAGACCAGAGCUUAUUCAGGGAAGGGGAGAGAGAAGGAAUGGGGAGUGAAUAUUUAAUGGGUACAUAGUUUUAGUUUGGAAUGAUGAAAAGUUUCUAGAAAUGGAUGGUGGUGACUUUUGCAUAACACUGUGAAUGUACUUAAUGCCACUGAACUGUACACUUAAAAAUGGGUGGAGUGGCAAGUUUUACGUUAUGUAUAUUUUACCAUAAUAAAGAUAUUUGAGAUGUACAGUUAAAAUUUUUGCUGUGGACUAUAAAUGUAUGUUUUACCUGAAUUGUAAAAUCUGAUUUCUA